Molecule: ribosomal RNA, 420 nt
Filed under: Fusobacteriota bacterium
Lineage: Bacteria; Fusobacteriati; Fusobacteriota
Description: Fusobacteria bacterium partial 16S ribosomal RNA
Rfam family: Bacterial small subunit ribosomal RNA
Source: RNAcentral
UGGGGGAUAUUGCACAAUGGGCGAAAGCCUGAUGCAGCGACGCCGCGUGGGGGAUGAAGGCCUUCGGGUUGUAAACUUCUUUUGCUCUGAACAAGGCAUGCCUUUGGGGUGUGUUGAGUGUAGGGGUUGAUUAGCGCCGGCUAACUACGUGCCAGCAGCCGCGGUAAUACGUAGGGCGCGAGCGUUGUCCGGAAUUAUUGGGCGUAAAGGGCUUGUAGGUGGCUGGUUGCGUCUGUCGUGAAAGCUCAUGGCUUAACUGUGGGUUUGCGGUGGGUACGGGCUGGCUUGAGUGCAGUAGGGGAGGCUGGAAUUCCAGGUGUAGCGGUGAGAUGCGCAGAUAUCAGGAGGAAUACCGGUGGAGAAGGCGGGUCUCUGGGCUGUUACUGACGCUGAGGAGCGAAAGCGUGGGGAGCGAACAGG